AGCCGCGGGCCACACCCACCCAACCCGCUGCGCCCGCGGUGCUCACCUUCUCUCGAGGAAGGAGCUGCGCUAGCCUCCUGGAUGGGGAGGUGUCGGGGGCAAGCUGCAACCUUCUCCCAAUGCUCCCAAUUGGGGAGAGGGUGGUCUGGUCUCAGGCGGGGUUUGUUGGGGAGACCUGGGAACCUGGUUCAACAUCCCCAAAGCAUCGUUGCCAACUUUUCCUUCCCCCUCCCUUUUGGCUGCCCCUCAAAGAUGAUCCAAUAAUUUUUGCAACUCACCUUUGGCUUUGAAGGCACAUGGGUGAGUUGUGAACUGGGACAGGAACCGCCUUCCCUCUCCGAGACUGAAGGUUGUUUAUCCUUCCUUUCUUUCCCUUCCACCCCCUUCUAUGGAAAGACAAAUACUCAAUUUACAUAAGAUGACUUUUAUGUGGCACUUAAAAAGAUUCCCCCAUGGAAUGUUGUGAACACAUUUGCUUAUAGGAGAAAUAAAUCUAAUAAUAAACAAACAGCACAAAUCCUCUGACGGGUUAAAUGGUCUACACAACAAAGAGGAAGAUGGUGAAUGUGGAAAUAAGCCCUUUCUGCAACAAGAAAGAAAUAUGAGCUCAAAGGGAGUCCCAGAAGCGUUUCUCUUCCUUGGCCUUCAUUCACAAAGUCUGGGAAGGCUUGUUUGGCAAGACUGAGGAACUGGGGUACCACCUCCAGACCUGACUCUAGCUCUGAGUUGGUAGGAUUUUCCCAAGCCUAAACUCAGUGCCAGAAAACAGAUGUCACAAGCUGUUAGCAUGUAACAAAAAUGGUCAAAUACCUGGAUUCAAAUCCUGGCUUUGCAGUUGAGAAGCUACUUGAUGUGGGCAAGCGCAUUCGUCUCUCUGGGUCUCUUUCUUCUAUAGAAUAGGAUGGUUGGAGGGUUCCUGAAGCCGUGUGUAUAUAUACAUAUAUGUAUAUAUGUUUGCAUACAUUCUAUAUGUGUAAAGCAGGAGCCUGGCUCAGAAUGCACAGUGCACAUUAGCACUUUCCCUGGUGUUUAUGUUUUGGAAGGGUGAAUAUGCUCCCUGAAAGCUCUUAACACUGGAAAUACUGGAGAACAAUGAUUUCUAUCUUGUCCUCUAUGAUGACAUAUACAAGAUCUCCCAGUUAGGGCAAAAAGAAGUAGAAGAGAAAAAACUGUGCUAGAUGGUAGGCUUCAUGGUCAAGGUCCAGAUGGCAGUCUUAACCACACAUCUGAAGUGGGAAUGGAGGCACCAAUUUACAGUGGCACAGUCCAAAGGAAGCACUCUGGGUCUAGAUAUAGCGGGUUUACAUACAGGAAAGGACUGGACAGGCUCCUCCUCUUAGCCAUCAAGAUCCUGUGAGCCUUGGCAGGCAGUUAUAAAAUGACCUAGCGAGAUGGAAGAGGGCGAAGAUGACCAUCUCCUGUGCUGUGCACUAUGCCAGUCAUCCCAUUUCAUCCUCAGAAAAAUCCCAUUUUAUCUAUUCAGAAAGGUUUCGUGACUCACCAACAAUCACACGAGCUAGGAAGUGGUGGCAGAGUUGGCACCUGGUUUGGAUGCCCCCAAGAUUAUGUGUUGUCCAUUUUACCAUGCUGCCAGAAUUAAAAGGUUACUUUGCUGUCCUAUGGAGGACAGACUGAAAGCGGAAAGGCUGAAGCUGGAAGACAGGUGAGGAGGUCACUGAAAUAAACCAGACUCUCAGACUCAGCCCAGUGGCCACAGAUGGCAGAAGGCAAAGAAGAUCCCUGGGGCUUCUAAACACUUCCCCAGAAACUGGCAGCAGGCAGUAACUCCGGCCAAGUCAGGGGCCAGCUUGACCAGACACUCAUCAAAGUGUGAGACGCCCCGCGUGGAGCUGAGGGACCCGGCUCUGUCCAAGAACCAUCAAGAACCAAAGGCGCUGGCUCCAAGUCAAGUUGAACAGGGUGUGUAGAAGCUGGCUGCCAUGUUGUAAGUACACUCAAGCAACCCUAUGGAGGAUGACAGGUGGUAAGAAACUAAGGUGUAUUGUCAACAGCCAGAACCAACUUGCCAGGAGUGCUGCAGUCUCAGUCAAGCCUUCAAAUGACCACAGCUCUGUCUGACAUCCUGACUGCAAUCUCAUGAAACAGCUCCAGCCAGAACCAUGCAGCUAGGUCACUUGCGAAUUCCUGAUAUGUCACAGAAAGUGGGAGACAGUAAAUGUUUAUUGUUGUUUUAA
Molecule: long non-coding RNA, 2195 nt
Organism: Lynx canadensis (Canada lynx)
Lineage: Eukaryota; Metazoa; Chordata; Mammalia; Carnivora; Felidae
Exons: 4
Source: RefSeq, a predicted model, not a curated record